UAAUGAUGUUAAGGGCAAUUUCGGAGCAUAGCCUUGACUCUUUCCUAGGCUUGGUAAGGAUUCUCUCCUUUUUUUCUUAUUAAAACUCAAAAUCUCACUUCUCAAAUG
Capsicum annuum is the source of this 108-nucleotide non-coding RNA. Lineage: Eukaryota; Viridiplantae; Streptophyta; Magnoliopsida; Solanales; Solanaceae. The record is from Rfam.